AAAUCCAACCCCUCCGCCAAUUCUCUAGUAUCAGACACCGGAUUGAUCCGCUUACUCUUCGCAUCACAUUCUUAGGCGUCAAGGAACUCAGAAGAAGUGUUUCUAAUUGCCAUAACUGAGUACAAGAACCAAGAAGAAGAAGAAGAAGAAGAAGAAGAAGAAGAAAGGUUCAAAUAUUGUUGUGAUGGUAAAGAACAGUGACAUGAUAGCCAGUUGAAGAAGGACUUUAAUUACCUCAAUAUAUCCAAGGUUUUCUGGA
Corylus avellana is the source of this 259-nucleotide non-coding RNA. The record is from RefSeq and is a predicted model, not a curated record. NCBI's taxonomy places the organism in Eukaryota, Viridiplantae, Streptophyta, Magnoliopsida, Fagales, Betulaceae.